CCUCCUUUCACUCUGAGAAAUGAUACCCAUUUGUGUCAGUGAGAGUUAGGGGAGAGGUGCAUUGAGACAGAGCAGGAGUCUGGCUGGGCUAGCUUUUAUCUUGUGCUCCCUGGAACCCUGACUGGAUGAUUUCUGAAGUCGAGCUGGAGCCCAUCUAGAGGGAAGGUGAAACUUCUCCUCAGCAUGCAGGGCCUCCUGCACCCACACUGCCACAGCCACCGCAUUACCAGCUCCUGCCAGUCUGAGGAGCAAGAGGCUGGCAUGAAGAAUCAGUUCCAUUCUUUCCUCCCUAAAUUUAGAAAAAGCCUGUUUUGCAAAGCUUUCUUCAGUGUUUCAAGACAAAAAAAAAAAAAUUAAGCAGUUGCACAACAUGCAUAUCUUCUCCUGGCCUGCAGCUCCAGGAUAUGCAGCUGGGAGCGAGUGUCCAGCCAACAGCCCGUGUCUCAGGCCCUGCCAGGGGAUGAAUCAAUUAGCAAGAGAAGCAAUGAUGCAAAUGCUCCGGGGUCACUUGGGAUGCUGUUUGCCUUUUUGAUAGAGAAAGCACACCAUAAAUAACAUCACACCUCAGGAAAUCAUUCCAGGAGGCCCCGAUGCUGGCAGGGCUGCUGCCAGGGACGGAAGGAAUCGUUUGCUCAUUGUGUGUAUUUCCCCCAGCUCAGUCAAUGGGAGAUUUGUAGUAAAAUCAAAGUAUUUAAAAGGAGGACAGUAUGUGGUAACAGAGGCAUGUUUAGCAAUUUUUUUAGUACCAGAACCUGUGAUUUAUGACCCAGAGUUACAGCCAACUUUAUUACAAAAAUGACUUCACCCAUAAUAACCUUAUUCAGGGCCCUCUGAUGAAUGAUGUAGUAUCCAACAGCAUUAUAAUCUAGUAAAUAUUCAAACACAAUUCCCGCCUCCGCCUCAUUUCCAACCAACCCCUCAGAAGCAGGCUUCCCCCUUUACCUGCUGGGAGAAGUGGGGUCCUGGGUAAGGCUUUGUGCUCUGUCUGUGGGAGUUUGCCUGGAUCAGGCAUUUAUACUAAGCCAGGACAGAAAGUGACCUCCUGGGGUCUCAGUCAUAUCUUGUCCAACCUUGUCCCCUGAGGAGUAAUGAGCAGAAGACACCCACUCACCCUUCAUUUCCUCUCUGUGCUGAAACUUAUUUCCUCCCUGCAUUCCCCCACUCCUCCAGAGCUCAGAUCCCCACCACCUGAAAGGAGCUCCAGUAAGCUCCCUGACAUUUUUAAUUGCCAUGGUAACUGAGGGCUGCACUAAAACCGCCAGGGCUGGGUGUCCAAGCAGGGUCCCCUGGGCGUACCGGGAUCUAGAAACUAGCCCUCCAUCUUAUUAAACUCCGGUGUCAGUUCCUAGCAAUUGUUUUAAAUUUACACCCUCAGAGUGGCUUAGUGGGAUUACAUGUCCAUUUGCAUUAAAACAGUUUUCUGUCAUUAAACUGCCAUACAAUAAGCUUCCUUGGGACAAAUUAAUGAGCUCUAAAUAUCAUCAAGUAGAAGUUCACUUCAAGACAGGCAACAAGGAGGGGGGUCGGAAGGAAGUGGCUGCUCAGAAUCUCAUGGCCCAGGAGAACGAUAAGUGCCAACUAAAGAAGGGUCUUGUCCUGUUUCUUCACUGCACGAUAAGUGGUCCUGAUUUAGAGCUGAAUGGGGAGAUUUGGCAAUAUUCUCCCUGUUCGCCAAAAUCCUAUAGCUCAUCUUCUAUUCCUUCUUCCAAAUAUGACUUUACCCUUGACUUUGCUGAAAUUUGCUGAUGAAACACUGACCUCUUGUCUCAGUGACAAUGUCUCAGCCUCAUUUUCUUUGUCCUGUAGUUUCUCUGUCCUUGAGGAACUUGCGUGCAUCCACGUGGCCUGGGAACAACACGCACACAACGCAGCACUAUGUGUAGCUUGAACAAGUGCUCCCUAACUUUGUUAGUUCCCACACACUUUGCUAAAAUGCAUGUAUGAUUGCUACUGAACUGUCUGGGUCCUCAGACCUUAUCGGGACCCUGGAACACGAGUCCUGAUCAGGAGCACCUUUCAUGGUCAUCAGGAGCAGAAUAGGAACAGGGAACAGUUUAGCUUCUAAGACUGAAUUUGUCCUGCUCACAAGAAUCACCAGAGCUUGUCCUCACAAAUACAUAUGUGUGUCUAAGUAGAAAUUUUUCAUUAACACCAAAUAAACCCCCAAACCUUCCCUUAUGUAAAGGAAAUAAGACUGGCUGCUAGACAGACUUCUUGAUCCACAGAGGCUGUGAUCUCAUUUCUGUGUAGCCUUAACAGGGGACAGUAAUGUAUGAUUGAGACACUGCUAUAUUUAGGAAUGACAAGAUGAACAUUAUUAAUAGCUUAAUUGACAUUAAGGCAAUUACCCCUACCCUUAUUACAGUUUGUAGAAUUACACAGAAAAUAUUGGCUGGGGCCUUUUUUUCCCUAGAGCUACCCAAGGAUACAGCAUUUUAUUUCAUGCCAGAUCCCAGCUUUGACAUUAGAUACUUAGCCAUAGAAUGAUUCCAGUAAAUCAUUAUAAAUGCAUUAUAAUAAAGAUGUUAUGAGCUAUCAGAUAUUAACCCCCAACCCCUAAAGAGAGAUAAAUAGUCCAGUUGCAUGAUUCCCACUUUUGUUUCAUAAGAAAUAAGCUUUUGCAAAGAGCAACUGACUAAUGAAUUAUAAAAUGGUGUGUUGAGCUCAGAUAAUUAAACAAUGCAUUUUAGUGUCUAGUGCAGGAUGAACACUAAAUCAUACACAAAUAAAAAAGGUAAAAAUCUGAGCCCCAUGCCUAACUCCUAUUUUUGAAUAACAUUAAUGUUGGUCUACAGUCCAAAAAUGCUUCAACUAUUUUCUUAUCUGAUUAGAGAGGCAUAUCAAGUAUAAGAUCAAGGCACAGUAGGCAAACUAAACCAACAGUCAGAACAAAAACUGUGAAGGUGCUAAUUUCAGAUAAGCCCACAAGGUUAUUUUAAUGGAGAUUUUACAUGGAGAUUGCUUUUUCCCCCAAAGUGUUAAUGGGACAAAAGUCUAGAAGGACCUGGAAGUUUUCAGGUUUCCUUAUACUUUAUAUUUUCUCUGAACUCAUAAUAAAGCAUAUUAGUGGGAAUGGGAUCUAUGCUAUUGGUGGUGGUCUUAGCCUUAUAGUGUUGGAAAGAUGAAUACACAUCCUAAAAUCUUCUCUAGGUUGUGGAGGUGCAGGGAUGAGGAGGGGUUGGUUUGGGUUUCAACCAUUAUCCUCCCCAGGUGGUGGUAUCCUGCCCAGCAGGGCUUCAUCUAGUGGUCAACCAUGGAACACCAUGACAUUUUCACCAGUGGCCCUCAGACAGGGCUGGUUUGCCAUUGGCUGCCAUUUCCUGGCAUGUCGUAGAUUUGCUGCGUGAUUUGAAGCUGUGCUUCAGCACAUCCUGAAUGUGUUUUUUAGUCUUUCAGUAUCUCAAAGACAUGGUGUCCGCCUCAAGGUAGUCUCCUAUUUCUUCGUCAAAUAGCACAUCAUUAAGGACUGUGUGGCCAAAAUUACAGAUGGUCUUGGACUCUGUAUGGGCAAUGACCACCUGUGCUGGUAAUCGAGGCUUCCCUGGAACACCUGGGAACAUACCACACAGCCAGUCCUCUCCUGUGCUCCAGUCAAGCUUAACCUCACAGCCCGAUACUCCCUCCACUUCCCUAGCUCCAUGUGUUAGCCACUGCAGGUUAAUUGAUCUAAGGCUUAUUUUCUUCAAAUAUAAAAUGAAGAUAAUAAUGCCUACCCAGAGGGUCAUGUGAACAUUAAAUGAGAUCAAUUAUGUAAAGAUCUAUCUAUGCAGUGCCUUUCACAGAGUAUGCCCACAAAUAAAUGUUACCUGUUUCAUUUUAGUUAUCUAUGUUUAGCUAUCUUUGUGUUUUUUCUAUCCUGCUUCUUCUCGCUCCACUAUACUCUUACAUCCUAAUUCUCUCUCUCUCUCAUACACACAUACUUUGCUGUGUCUAGCACAGUGCUUUGCUUGUGGCUCACACUCUACAUGCUUGUUACCCUGAACUAUUAACAAAAGCAGCUGCUAGUAACAGUUAAUGUUUUCUGACCACCUACAUGAGCCAGGCACUAUGCUAAGUAUCAUCACUUCCUUUAAUUCUCACAAGCUUAUGAGACAAAUACUAUUUUAAUUCUCAUCUAUCGGAAAUUAAAGAUUAAAGAUGUUCUAUAACUUGCCCAAGGUCACACAAGCUCUUAAGUGGAUAGUCAAGAUCCAAACUCAGAACCGGCCUGGAUUUGAAAUCUCAGUUCUUAACUAUCACUGUGUCAGACUGAUUUUGUUAGCUUUUUCCUCCUUUAGACUGGGCCCUAUCAAGGGAUCAGAGAUAAGCAUGUACCCACUCUCAGAUGAGUGAUCCCACGACCUCAAGUUUUGAAGUUCCAGGAAGUCCAGAAGUGUAUGCUAACUCUAGUUUAUAGCUGUUCAAAAGUCACUUGUCUAAAAACUUCAGGGACAUUAUGUAAAACCAUCCAAAAAACAUUAUUGCACACCCCAUAAAGUUAAUUUCACUUUGCAAGAAUGUGUUUGAGGGAGGUGAUGCACUUGGCUAUGUAUUCAGGUUGGUGGCCACAAUAUAUGGAGCUGUGCUGUCAUCCUUGACACUCUGGCUUACUGGCAGCCUCGCUCCAACACACUGUCACAGGCGAGGGAUGGCCUCCCAGUCUUGACUCAGAACACUUAAGCUUCCUAAUGGUCCAAGUCUCACAAACCACACACCUCCCUUAAUUAAAAAAGUAAAUUAAAAGGAGUAUUUCAACUUAGGGAUGAAUUAUCUUAGUAAUUUAAGAUUGACAUUUUAUUGGAUAAAAGGACAUGUAUGAGUUUAUUUUAAAAUACUGCCUUCAUGAACAAGAGACCACAGAAAAGAUUAUCCUGAGGUUGCAAGGCGUUUGUAGAGCCAGAGGACACCCUUGCAAAACAGCCACUGUGAGAGGCCAGUUGCUGCAAAUCACAGGUCAGCCACUUCUACACUUGUCCUUCAAGCACAUCAGCCGGACAUUUGGAGUUUUCUAUAGUCUUCAUUUCAAACUCGAUCAUCCUGAGUGUUGUGGUGGACACUACUAGUGUCACAAAGAGUCCAGCACCCUCUCCUUCCAGGUAUAUAAACGGUGCAUUGCUGGGCUCCUUUGCAGUUGGAUAGGUCAGGUAAUUUGUCUGUUGUGAAGAGUUACUAUGUUUCACUUCUAAGCCGAAGCAUUUGAUUGUCAAUGGAAUACCCUCCAGCUCUCUCCUUCCCUGCAGAAGUAAUCUUGGAAGCAUGUGUUGAGAUGACAGAGUUCCCAAUAGCCUAGAUUCCUGAAUGACUUAGUGGAGCUGAGUCCUCCACAGGUCCAUGUUGGACAUGCACAAUCAGUGAGAAUAAACUUUUGUUGGAUUAAGUCACCGAUGUUUGGAGACUGUUCAUUACCACAACAAAAUGUAGCCAAAUCCCGACUAAUCCAGGAAUUAACCUUUUGUUCAGAAAAUACAGCCCUUCUAAGUCAUAAACCCAUAUUCUCUUUCCAAUAGCUUAUUAAAUGGUUUAUGUAUUUUCCAUCUUUUUGAUAUACUCUCAGAUGCCUAAAAUUACCACAGUGACCUUGGAUUGGACAAGGUAGUUGUUUGUCUUUUAGCCAUUAAUAAAUAUUGCUACUGUGGAAUGAGUGAGGGAAACAGAAGAAGACAAGGUUGGCCUUUUGAAAAUAAUAUGGCAUCAUGUAACGAUGAAAAAGAGAAAAAAUACAGAAAAAAGAGAAAACAAGAGAAAAAUGAAAAACAAGUCUAUAAGAGAGAAAAGUAGAGAAAAACAAAACAAUAGAAAUGCUGGGCAAUUUGUUUCAGAUUCACUAUAACCAACUGCUUGUUGUUGGGUUCUGCUCUAGAAGGCAUCUCUCAGGAUGCCUUUGACCCUCAGCACCUUUUUGUGUAUGUGCCUAGCAUACUGAGGUGCUCAAUAAAUGUUGAUUGAAAGGGUAAAUAAAGGAAUAAAUUUCCAUUUUAUAAUCUUGGAAGCAUAUAUUACUUUAAACGGCCUAUGACUAUGAAUGGACAUUCCAUUGCACAUUGAAAGGCAGUACAACAAGUGAGAAGGGAAGUAGAAAUAUAUGAGUUUGAAUAGCUCUUCAUAACCUUUAAACCUGAGUCCUUGCAAAGAGCAACUAUGAGGUCAGAGCAAUAAUUCUUUGUCCUAAAAACAGGACACCACUGAUAACUCAGAGCCGUCUGUUGAAGAAAGUGUUUCAAAUAAACUGGUUAGCAAUGCCCUUGUUUUGUUUGCCUCUGGAUGGGAAGAACUAGGAGUGCAAUCAGCACCGAGGUGUCUAUAGUCUUGAUGUGGUGGGAGAUGAAAGUAGGGGAACUGAAUAAUGUAUUUUUUCAAAACCUUGAAUGGAGCGAGAAAUACUGAUAAAAAGGAAGAGUUGUGAGUCAUUCUUCUGCUGAUGCCAACUGGGAAGCUCCAGUAGUAUAUUCCCCUGGUGAUGAAGUAAUUCACUUUUUCUGAGAUUAACAUUCUGUAGUAAGGCUGUUCCUCAUACAAGGUUGCUCACAGGUAAAGUUAAUAAAAGGCAGAGUCUAAGAAUUCAUAAGGAAGUUUGCCUUUCCAUGGGGAGAAAGCAUGCAAUCAGGGUCUCUAGUCUGUGUGCACACGUGUGUGUGCGCGUGUGUGUGUGCGCGCGCGCACUCAUAUGCACAGCUCAGAUGUCCAGGACUUGAGAUGAGAAUGGAAAGCACCGAAUAAGAAGAAAGCUGCCACACAGUAGGCUGAAGGAGAAUGACUACAACCUUUAGGCUGAAAAAAAAAAAACACUACAUGCUGGCGUGUAUCCUUGUGGAUAUGUGGAAACACAACAAAAAUAUUGGUCCAUCCUGGCUGCAGUUUUAAAGGAAAGGAAGAUCUCCUGGCAUCAACAUCUCUUGGAGAUGAACACACUAUACAUGCAAGUUCAAAUCUAUCAUCUUCCACCAGUCAACCCAAGCUACAUUCCCCUUCCAUUUAUUAUCAAAGGAAUAAGCACUUUUGUUUCCCAGGCUUAACUCCUCAAAAUCAUGAGCUUUUCUUCCCUACCUUUCCCUUCAUUCGAACUCUUUCCUUUCAAAAUGUUUAUAGAAUUCAUUCUUAUCCUCUCCCUGCCUGGGGGGUUUAUCUAGCUAGUCUAAAUUCUAGAUCAUUGCCUUUCUAUAGGAAAUAUAAAACACACAAAUAAUGAAAUACCCAUAAUCCAAGGCAGAAAUCAUGAGUGUUAUAGUAACAAUGGCCUCAAGAGCUAGACUGCCCAGGCAGCUCAUAUU
RNAcentral lists this long non-coding RNA (7247 nucleotides) under Homo sapiens (human). RNAcentral describes it as "HSALNT0043668". The record is from RNAcentral. Lineage: Eukaryota; Metazoa; Chordata; Mammalia; Primates; Hominidae.